CCUGGCACCCGCGUCAGAUGCCGGCCGGCGAGCGCGCGGAGAGAGAGACCUUGAGCGGCGUGGCGCGCGUCCUCAGCUCUGCGAGCCCCCUCUGGAGCGGCGGGGAGAAGAGACACGAGAGGUGCCCUCUGUCUCCACCACAAGAAGAUGGCCGUCUGCAAACCAGGAGGAGCCUUCACCAGAUGUCAGACCUGGUGGCACCUUGAGCUGGGACUUCCGGGCCUCGAGAACUGUGAAAAUCAAAGUCUGUGAUACUCCGUUAUAGGGGCCCAGACCAUUAUAACACGCCAGUAGUACACCAGGAGGCGCAAUUUAUUGACGUGAAUAAAUUGAAUAAGGGGCAGGCCCGAGAGGGCGGGACAAAAGGCACCCGGUUCCUGGAGGACCCAGAAACAGUCGGCCACAGCAGGCGUUUCCAGGCCCGGUGCCCAUCCCCCACCCUGGCCAGCAGGCAGGCCCCGGCUCAGAACCGGGAUGCAUCUCGGUUCAAGGCCGUGUUUCUCUGAGCGGCCGUCUGUUCCCAUCACUUCACAUCGUUGUCUCUGACCCUUGCACCGGGCGGUUAUCACUAUCCCCAGUCUGCAGGUCAGGAACAGAAGCUCAGAGGGGCUACUGCUCAGGAGUGCCCAGCCCGGAAGCAAUUGGUUGGGGGGCGGGAGGUGGGGGGGGAGUGACUGGCCUUCAGCCUGCUGCCGGCCAGGUCCUGCCCUUCCUGUGGCUGCACUGCGGUCCAGGCUCCUGGGGUUUCCUCAUUACAGAGGAGCGCCAGCCUCCAUCUCUUGCUUCCAGCCCUUUCCUGUCCCUUAGAGGAAAGAUGCUAGCUCACAGAGAAAGAAUUUUUAUUUUACAGCUGCCUCUCCUUUCUUUAGACUCCAGCCAGUCCUGGGUGCAGUGAGAUCUGAACGGCCAGGUCCUACCGGCUCCCCAUGGCUCGAGCUCCUCCUUCAGACUGAGGGUCUUGGGUGGGGGGUCUGCUGGGAUGGCUGAGCCACGGACGCUGGAGGACAGAACAGGAAAAUGAAGACGUGAGGACACCCGCUAGCUCCGUGUCCUAAAUCGGAGGUCCCGAACAGUAUUCCCGGGGCCUCCCCGCCCCCCCCCCCCCCCGCACCUGGGAUCGGACGCCAACGUGUUCUGCCACCGACCACGCAGCACAUGGCUUGAAAGCAGGGUGCUGGGGCCAGGCCAACGUUUGCCUUUUCCUACACGUCUCGGCAAAGCUGCUCAAAACCCUCUCUUCCCCCAGCAGGAAAAGCAUAUGUUCUUUCCAUAUAGAGGAGAAAUUGUUCCACGAGUGAGUAAGUCUCUUGGCCGCGGAGCCCGGCCCAGCCCGCAGCACGCCGGGCAGGAAGCGGGCAGCGUUCUUACCACCCUUGGAACCAGACCGGGCUGGAUCCUCACCCUGGAAGACAGCGGGCCUUUGGACGGGGCCGGGGGUGGUGGGGAGCGGGGGCUGGGCGAGUGCCCGAAGACAGCUAGCCGGCCAGGGCAGGGCAGAGAAUCCUUUCCCUGAAUAGAAGCGCUUUUCUCCAUUCAGGCCGGGCGGGCGAAGGAGGGAGGGAAGGCCGAGGGGUGUGAGAGGCGAAAGAGACCUUUCCAGUCCCCUCGCCCCAGCAGCAAACGGGCCUGAGUCAGAGGUGACUCAGGUACGUGCAGUGAGACAGGGCCAUUUUUAGACCGUCAUUUCCAGCCACCCCCAGAUUCUCCUCGAUGCCUCGGGGUUGGGUGGCGAAAAGGAACCCCAUCCUCAGUGCCUCAGUUCAUUCUGCCGGAUCCGUGUGAACAUACAGGACUUCCCCAAGCCAGCCCCGGGCCGGAGGAUGCUGCUUGCAGCCUUGUCUCAGGGAGUCCUGGUUCCCUUCCCACCCUUUCCCCACUUGCUAAGAAUCGCUGACUAGGGGCUUGCGGGGAGUGGGCAGGGAAGGGACAGACAGGCCGGGCGAUGGGCAGGUGGUGGGACAGAGGGGAAAUGGGAGGGGCCCCACAGAGAGGGGAAAACGCCGAUGACAUUGGGGCAUCUAACCUGGAAGGUCAAAGACUCGGGCUAGGGGCGCCUGGCUGGCUCCGUGGGUUGAGUGUCCAACUCUUGGUUUCAGCUCAGAUCACGAUCUCACAGUUUUUGAGUUCGAGCCCCACUUCAGGUUCUGCCCUGAUGGCGUGGAUCCUGCUUGGGAUUCUCUCUCUCUGCCCCUCCCCUGCCUUCGCUCACAUUCUCUCUCUCUCUCUCUCUAAUAACUAAGCUUGAAAGACUCAGGGUGGUAGAAGUGAGAGACGUGAAAAUGAUGUAAAGGUAGGAGACAGGUCACCCCGUAGAAGUGGGAUUGGAUUUAUCCUGGGUGGGAACUUCGACGGGGCAAGCCCUGAGCAUAUAAAUCAGGGCCCCAACCCACUGAGGAGUGCUUUCAAGGCAGCGCAUUCUCGGGGCACCUGGGUGGCUCAGUCGCUUACGCAUCCGACUUUCGCUCAGGUUGUGAUUUCACAGUUUGUGAGUUCGAGCCCUGCACCAACCUCUCUGCUGUCAGCAUGGAGCCCUCUUUGGCUCCUCUGUUCCCCCCUCCCCAACCCCCACUCUCUGCAUCUCCCCUGCUCACUCUCUUUCUCUCAAAAAUAAAUAAAUGAACACUGGUGUUCAUUUAGGUCUCACACUGGUGGCCUGGGGGCCAGACACAGCCCUGAAGAUGUUUCCACCGGUCAGCAUUUCUGCACGGCCACCAUCAGCGGAGUCCACACAAUCAACGCACGGCCCGUGCUGCAGGGCAUGUCAGGCCUGAGUCCCUCCUUUGUUUCCUGGACUGGUCCCUUAGGCGUUUACGCCUGGGAGCUUUGGAGCACCUGCCCACACUCUCCCUUCGCCUCUAGCUCACCCUGUAGGCCCACCUGGGACGGGAGGAGACGGGCUCAGGUGAGACCACAUGUCCUGAGCCGCCCUGGCCCGGACGCCAGGUAGAGCGCUCACCUGGCCAGAGACCAGCACCCCUGCAAACUCCCCCUCCCUCUCCUGGAGCUGUCAUUACGCUGGGCUCUAUCAUGGUCUCUGGGGACUGGACAGUAGCUUCACUCACCUGACCAUCCUGCCCUGGAGCAGAAGCAGUUCCCAGGGUGUUUAGGGUCUGGGAAGGGCACCCGGGGGCAGAUGCACCGUGAGCUGAGAUAGAAGGGACAAAGUAAGAACGGGCACGCCCGACCCCCGGUCCAGGAGGGCAGCGCUAGGGGCGGAUGCCAGCGGCAGUGGGUCUGAAGGAAGCUGGGGCAGGGCUGGGGAGUGGAAACUAGCCGGGGGAGUAAAGUGGGGCGGCUAAAGGGCUCAGGAAGGAGGGAGCAGAAGGCAAGGCCCAGCUCCACCUUCUGCCUGUGGGUCUGGGGUGGACCCUGACUUGUACCUGCCGGAACCGAGGGCAGAAGGGCAGGCGGCAGUGGCCUCGCUGGGCGACGAGAUUCCACCCGAAGCCUGUAUAGGCUGCGGCAGAUUGCAGGGCGGUUUCACUUCCCCGGCCCUAUCUGCUCCCGCGGAUAGCUACGGGCGUUGGGACUAACAUACCCAUUUUACAGAUGAGGAGACUGAGGCGAAGUUGUGCGAGGAAGACUCUAGCCCCCGGGUAAGAGCAGGGCUCCUGCUUUCACCAGCUCUGCUUUCUGAGUUGCUUGUCCAGGCCACUGGGAGCGGACGACACAACUCCUCGCAAAGCAGCCACGCAGCAAGCAUUAGCUCCUCCUCCUCCACGUUUCACAGCCUCAUCGAGUGACACUGACAUUUGCAGGCAAGAACUCCAGCUGUGCUGGGACCCAGCAGGGGAGUUGGUGUCCCGAAGAGAAGAAGACCCUGGGGGAGUCCCUGCGGCAGGGGCCGGCUGGAGCUGCGGUCACCCAACCACCGGGCCGGCAGCCCUCAGCGGGCCCGAAUUUGCAGGGAGAUUCGGUAGAGC
Molecule: long non-coding RNA, 3923 nt
Organism: Felis catus (domestic cat)
Lineage: Eukaryota; Metazoa; Chordata; Mammalia; Carnivora; Felidae
Exons: 3
Source: RefSeq, a predicted model, not a curated record